This 547-nucleotide ribosomal RNA is filed under the name uncultured bacterium. Its description in RNAcentral is "bacterial SSU rRNA". It matches the Rfam family "Bacterial small subunit ribosomal RNA", at positions 350 to 918 of the family's 1533-position model. The record is from RNAcentral.
AGCAGUGGGGAAUCUUGGACAAUGGGCGCACGUGUGUCCAGCCAUGCCGCGUGAGUGAUGAAGGCCUUAGGGUCGUAAAGCUCUUUCGCCAGGGAUGAUAAUGACAGUACCUGGUAAAGAAACCCCGGCUAACUCCGUGCCAGCAGCCGCGGGAAUACGGAGGGGGUUAGCGUUGUUCGGAAUUACUGGGCGUAAAGAGUACGUAGGCGGAUCAGAUAGUUGGGUGUGAAAUCCCGGGGCUCAACCCCGAACUGCCUCCAAAACUCCUGGUCUAGAGUUCGAGAGAGGUGAGUGGGAUUCCGAGUGUAGAGGUGAGAUUCGUAGAUAUUCGGAGGAACACCAGUGGCGAAGGGGCUCACUGUCUCGAUACUGACGCUGAGAUACGAAAGAGUGGGGAGCGAACAGGAUUAGAUACACUGGGAGACCACACCGUAAACGAUGAAUGCAAGCCGUCGGGGAGCAUGCUAUUCGGUGACACACCUAACGGAUUAAGCAUUCCGCCUGGGGAGUACGGUCGCAAGAUUAAAACUCAAAGGAAUUGACGGGG